CUAGCGGUUGGCGGGGAGGGGGCCGCGCCGGCGGCCCCAGACUCGCGCCUGGAGACCCGGGCGGGCUUGGGGCGGGGCCCGCGGAGGUGGCGGAGGCCCCGGGCCGGCGCCCGCCCCCGAUGCGGGGACCUGGGACGUGGCGGACAGUUUACAGGAAAUGAAGACGUACGAGGACCCAGAUGAAUGGUGCCACACGGAAGCAGUGACACAGAACCAGAAGGCGGGAAGCCCUGCAGGAGGAGGGCCCAGGGUCUCCGGCUGUGUUCUACUCCCGAUCGGCCUUUUUCCAGAUGGAGAGGCGGAAGGGCCGUACGAGUCAGAUUCAGUCGGUGAUCGUGGAUUGCACACUGUUCUGGAUAAACCCGCUAUAAAAAAGAUUUGAGGGUCCCGUGAGAAAAUUCGACUGUCAUUUGAAUAUUAGAUGAAAUGGAACUUUACUGCAAUAGAAAAGUGGGAAAAGCUGGCUGCAGAUAAAAUGUAAUUUCUCCUUUUAGUAACAAGAAGGCCAUUUAUUAAGGGACAGCUAGGUUACCCCGCCCUCUGGCUGUUGAGAACGACGCCCUGGGACACCUGGAGCAUGAGGAUCUGUUCAGUCCCUGCUUUCAAUUCCUUCGGUGACGUAUCCA
This is a long non-coding RNA of Suricata suricatta (meerkat), 626 nucleotides long. RefSeq lists it as uncharacterized. NCBI's taxonomy places the organism in Eukaryota, Metazoa, Chordata, Mammalia, Carnivora, Herpestidae. The transcript has 3 exons. The record is from RefSeq and is a predicted model, not a curated record.